AACGCGAAGAACCUUACCCACCUUUGACAUGUAUGGAAGAUCGCAGAGACGGGAUUGUGCUCGAAAGAGAGCCAUAACACAGGUGCUGCAUGGCUGUCGUCAGCUCGUGUCGAUGAGAUGUUGGGUUAAGUCCCGCAACGAGCGCAUCCCUUGUCAUUAGUUGCUACAUUUAGUUGGGCACUCUAAUGAGACUGCCGGUGACAAACCGGAGGAAGGUGGGGAUGACGUCAAGUCCUCAUGGCCCUUAUAGGUGGGGCUACACACGUCAUACAAUGGCUGGUACAAAGGGUUGCCAACCCGCGAGGGGGAGCUAAUCCCAUAAAGCCAGUCGUAGUCCGGAUGGUAGUCUGCAACUCGACUACGUGAAGUCGGAAUCUCUAGUAAUCGGGGAUCAGAAUGUCGCGGUAAAUACUUUCCCGGGUCUUGUACACACCG
Molecule: ribosomal RNA, 435 nt
Filed under: uncultured bacterium
Lineage: Bacteria
Description: bacterial SSU rRNA
Rfam family: Bacterial small subunit ribosomal RNA
Source: RNAcentral